GUCAGGAAUAUAUGUUUUUUAUUUAUUGGAUAUUUUUGAGCUAUUAAUUUUACCAUUUGUGACUUUCCGUUUUGAAUUUGACUUGGAGUUUGGUAUUUAUUAUAUUUUACAUUUGCCAUUUUUAUUUAGUUUGUUUACUUUUUUAAGUCAGUUGCGUUUUAUGUCAAUGUAUGUCUGUUGCGUAUAUUUACAAAGUUUUGGCUGCUGGAUCCCAAUUUACCAUAUAAUGUUUACCAUAUAAUGUUUCUUUAUGUUGUUAAUCCAAUAUUAUGUCAAUGUACGGAACAAUUAAUAACUGUCAUACAAGUGGAUGGUUCAUUAGUCAGCUUUAAAAGCAGGGUUAACCAACCGUUUUCUUUUGAAAUUCAUCUCCGACGUCAGGAAUAUGACAGUUGUUUUCCACUCGUUCUGUUGGUUGAUAACGUUUGAUUUUGUUAGUUUUUUAAAAUUUACACGGAAGCUCGUUUUCUUAUUUCCUUCUUAUCUGCUAUCAUGGUUGUUGUAAAUGUGUAUAUUGGUUAUUUCCAAGUAAAGGAAUAUUAAUUGUUUUAUUUGUAUGAUAGAGGAUUGAUGUGAAAAGAAUUUUUAAAUGUACUCUCAGAAUUGACAGGACCAUAUUUCGAGGACGAAAUGUAUUCUUGGGGAGGGGCAGUGUUGUAAAUGUGUAUAUUGGUUAUUUCCAAGUAAAGGAAUAUUAAUUGUUAUUAUUGUAUUGAGAUAGUUUUACCUUAUGUUAUUAGCUGUAUCGAUAACGUCGUAUAUGGCGCAACUUUGUCAUGUAUUGUUCAGAACGUUACCGUUGGGUCAAUAUUUUAAGCGUAAACCCAAAAGUGUUCAUUAAAGAGUUCUUAAUUGGGAGAAUUAGUAUGUCUAGAUUUGUUUAUUCAUAAGAUUGUAUUAUUAUAAGCAUUUUGAGUCGAGGACUCCUAUAUUUUAUGUAAGCGUUUUACGUUAUGUUUUUCUUGAACAGUGAUAUUGUUGGCUUUUUUUCAAAACUACCUCUACCCUUUUUUAUUGGGAAAAUAUGCGUCAUUUUUAUCAAAUUGGGAAAUUUAUAAUGAAAGAUGAAUUGGACUGGAACUUCAAUUUGCAGACCCCCUUUUGAGAGGUAAACCCUCAUUUGAAAUAAGAC
RNAcentral lists this long non-coding RNA (1132 nucleotides) under Mytilus galloprovincialis (Mediterranean mussel). The record is from RNAcentral. Lineage: Eukaryota; Metazoa; Mollusca; Bivalvia; Mytilida; Mytilidae.